This is a long non-coding RNA of Cyprinus carpio carpio, 1053 nucleotides long. The record is from Ensembl. Lineage: Eukaryota; Metazoa; Chordata; Actinopteri; Cypriniformes; Cyprinidae.
UACAAAACAACAUAGGAUAAAGGAAACCAGCAAUCUCUCGUUAAAGGAUCCCAGGAUGUUAACUUUAAUUUCAAAUCAUUAGUCACAUGUCUGGAUGAGCUGGACUAUGCUUUCAUUUGUAACAUUUUGUCAACUGAGGAAGUACUUCCACUCUGUGAAGUACUUAAAAUGAAGACUCCAUACGAAAGAGUGACAGUGAAGGCAAAGGUGAUUCAACUGCAAAGCCAUGGACACAAUGUUGUUCACGACAGCACAUUUCUCCAGAACACAUACUACACAAUUGCAGAUGAAAAAGCAGCAAUCGAUUUGACCGUAUGGGGUGACAGCAAAGUUACAACUGACUGCUGGUACGAGAUCUCAAAUGUUUCCAUACGCACCUUCAAAGAUAAACUGCUUUUAACUACAACCAAAGACACAAACUUCACUAUACUGAGCUGCCGAAAUCCCAUUCAUCCUGUGGAGAACACCACCACCCAAACUGUCACAGCAGACAUAAUUGGAGCAACAGUACACCUAACAACUCCACUACAGACCACAUUAUAGACGCUAUACUUGCACUGCCCCCUGUCAACAUAUCCAUAUACAAAAACAACAUAACAAACAUAUCACUCCAACAAGACACCCAUUCCAUACAGACACCGAAAAUCACAAUCACACGACCUAUGGACUCGUCUCAAAGCCUCUAUGCAACCGAUCUAGAGAACCGAAUGGCUGACGACUUCCUCACUUCCACCCCAUCUACAUCAACAGCAACCACUUCAGCUUCAUCAGCCAUCAUACCACCCACAGAAUUACCAACAGUAUUAAGAACUAAAACCAGAACCAGUUCCAACCAGGAAAAAUCACCCCAAUGAAGGAGAUUAGCCCACUUAACUACUCAAACGUCUGCUGUGAGCUUCUGGGAGGUGGUGUGCUUCGCUCCUGCUAUUUUUUCUUUUUAUUAGUAACUUUUCUGUUGCAUUUACUAUGACAUCGGUCAAAUCUACUUUAAUUUCUCAAUUGUUGUGUAACAAUAAAUGUAAUAGCAAACACCACUAAUCAUUUAGAAUAAAA